AGUUUAAUGACAGUACUGAGCCAGCUUUAACUGUUGUCUUGUCAGCAAGCACAAGGUUAUACACUGGAAGACUACUUUUGAGGAGGAGGUCAAAUCUGAAAAGGAAGAACAUCACCAAAGUGUAUUGUAGUCAGAAGGUGAUUGAUAGAGGCAAAAUAAUUCAGCUGAGAUGUGCAGCCCAUUUCCUUGGCAUGACUGUGAACUGGAGCUGAAACUUCCCGGAGGCAUCCUUGCUCAGGACCACUUGCUGAUGUUCAUCUGCAUUGCAUCACUCUGAAACCAAGAGCAGCUGCACUGCUUACUGUAAGCACAUCUGGAAACAGGAGCUGUGUGUUUUGCCCAGACAAUCGUGAAAAUAAAACUCAGAGUUUGAAGGUUUAUGUUUAUUUU
Long non-coding RNA from Parus major (Great Tit), 390 nucleotides. NCBI's taxonomy places the organism in Eukaryota, Metazoa, Chordata, Aves, Passeriformes, Paridae. The record is from Ensembl.